Molecule: long non-coding RNA, 209 nt
Filed under: Phoenix dactylifera (date palm)
Lineage: Eukaryota; Viridiplantae; Streptophyta; Magnoliopsida; Arecales; Arecaceae
Description: long non-coding RNA (PDAC_LNC000791)
Source: RNAcentral
CCUCAAGGUUGGGCCUCCGUGAAGAAACCUCUAGAAAGUCUAGAAAAUCCUCAGUCGACGUCCACCCUUGCUGAAGGUCGAGGGAGCUUGAGGCGCACCCCCAGAUCUGAGCAACCCACAGACAUCCGAUGAGGACAUGGAAUAGAGACUCCUCUACCUCCAGGCAAACCACACACGCUGUGGGGAUACUCAUCCCUCGCCAAGCCAGC